AUCCUAAUUGAGGGCAUUUGUUGGUUAUUUGAGGAACAUAAGUGCUCUCAAUUGGGGUAG
This 60-nucleotide microRNA precursor is filed under the name Sarcophilus harrisii (Tasmanian devil). Its description in RNAcentral is "Sha-Mir-430-o24_pre stem-loop". Lineage: Eukaryota; Metazoa; Chordata; Mammalia; Dasyuromorphia; Dasyuridae. The record is from RNAcentral.